Molecule: ribosomal RNA, 421 nt
Filed under: uncultured bacterium
Lineage: Bacteria
Description: bacterial SSU rRNA
Rfam family: Bacterial small subunit ribosomal RNA
Source: RNAcentral
GGAAUCUUCCGCAAUGGACGAAAGUCUGACGGAGCAACGCCGCGUGAGCGAUGAAGGCCUUCGGGUCGUAAAGCUCUGUUGUUAGGGAAGAACAAGUACCAGUUAACUGCUGGUACCUUGACGGUACCUAACGAGAAAGCCACGGCUAACUACGUGCCAGCAGCCGCGGUAAUACGUAGGUGGCAAGCGUUGUCCGGAUUUAUUGGGCGUAAAGCGCGCGCAGGCGGUUCUUUAAGUCUGAUGUGAAAGCCCCCGGCUCAACCGGGGAUGGUCAUUGGAAACUGGGGAACUUGAGUGCAGAAGAGAAGAGCGGAAUUCCACGUGUAGCGGUGAAAUGCGUAGAGAUGUGGAGGAACACCAGUGGCGAAGGCGGCUCUUUGGUCUGUAACUGACGCUGAGGCGCGAAAGCGUGGGGAGCAAA